RNAcentral lists this long non-coding RNA (219 nucleotides) under Gouania willdenowi (blunt-snouted clingfish). RNAcentral describes it as "lncRNA (ENSGWIG00000015679.1)". Lineage: Eukaryota; Metazoa; Chordata; Actinopteri; Blenniiformes; Gobiesocidae. The record is from RNAcentral.
UGAUACAAACAACAGCAGUGAAAUCCGAAGAUUCGUUCCGAAGGGAUCUGGGUACGUAUCACUAGAGCUGGUGCCGUGGUCAGGCUGCUCCUUGCCCACCUGUGGGAUGGCUGACCUACUCAACAAACUCCAGGGAGGAGAUGAGAUAGCAGAUCACCUGACGAGGGACGCUUUUGGAAAUGGAAGGAAAUGACAUCAUCAUUAAUCUUUAACUUCAUC